This 251-nucleotide ribosomal RNA is filed under the name uncultured bacterium. RNAcentral describes it as "partial 16S ribosomal RNA". It matches the Rfam family "Bacterial small subunit ribosomal RNA", at positions 103 to 354 of the family's 1533-position model. The record is from RNAcentral.
CGGGUGAGUAACGCGUGGAAAACCUGCCGUAUACUGGGGGAUAACACUUAGAAAUAGGUGCUAAUACCGCAUAAGCGCACAGCUUCGCAUGAAGCAGUGUGAAAAACUCUGGUGGUAUACGAUGGUUCAGCGUCUGAUUAGCUAGUUGGUGGGGUAAUGGCCUACCAAGGCAACGAUCAGUAGCCGGCCUGAGAGGGUGAACGGCCACAUUGGGACUGAGACACGGCCCAAACUCCUACGGGAGGCAGCAG